Long non-coding RNA from Gavia stellata (red-throated loon), 176 nucleotides. RefSeq lists it as uncharacterized. The transcript is spliced from 3 exons. The record is from RefSeq and is a predicted model, not a curated record. NCBI's taxonomy places the organism in Eukaryota, Metazoa, Chordata, Aves, Gaviiformes, Gaviidae.
GGCAGGUGUCGGGGCGCCGGGUCCCCCCCGUCGCCGCUGAGCUGACGUGCCUGGCCCUGCUGAGGCUGCUGGGGUUGCGAUGAAGUGCAGUGGCUUCGCUUUGUUGUGGUGCUGACUGGAGUGGAAGCAAGUCAGACUAACUGUGAGGAGGGAAGAGGCUGCAGUGACCGAGGUGG